Non-coding RNA from Ictidomys tridecemlineatus (thirteen-lined ground squirrel), 419 nucleotides. The record is from RefSeq and is a predicted model, not a curated record. NCBI's taxonomy places the organism in Eukaryota, Metazoa, Chordata, Mammalia, Rodentia, Sciuridae.
CAGGAUCUCAAGAAACAGGGCGAGCGACCCCACAGAUGUCUUGAAAUUAGCUCCACACGCGUUCUUAACAAACCGAGGGGUGAAAUCCCCAGUGUGUGUCAAACCUCUCAGACUCUGGGAAUAGAGGGCCGCGAUGUCAAGGAAGCCGACUUUACAACUCAAGUCUGCUCAGGAGGUGACAGCUGUCUUGACAGAUUUCGAGUUGCAGAAAUGGAUGCCCAGAGAGGGGAAGGAACGUGUCUGAAGCCACCCAGCAAGGCGGCGGCAGAUUGGAACACACGACUCUUCCCACCUUCGAGGUUGGAUUCCCCAUCAGACCUGUGUCCCAAGUGACAGGCUUUUAGCACGUCCCUGUACCACCUGACCUAUUGUCUCCUGAAGGUUCUUUUCUUUCAAUAAACCACUUUUUUAAAUGUGAA